UAUUAGAGGCAUUGCCUGCCCAGUGACUAAAGUUAAACGGCCGCGGUAUCCUGACCGUGCAAAGGUAGCAUAAUCACUUGUUCCUUAAUUAGGGACUAGAAUGAAUGGCUAAACGAGGGUCCAACUGUCUCUUACUUUUAAUCAGUGAAAUUGACCUUCCAGUGAAGAGGCUGGAAUAUUAUAAUAAGACGAGAAGACCCUAUGGAGCUUUAAUUUACUAGUUUAAUUUAUAUAAAAAUAACCUAAUGGCUCAAAACAAAACAAAUAUAAACUAAAAAAUUUCGGUUGGGGUGACCUCGGAGAAUAAAAAAUCCUCCGAAUGAUUUUAACCUAGACCCACAAGUCAAAGUAACUUCAAUAUCUCAUUGACCCAAUUAUUGAUCAACGGACCAAGUUACCCUAGGGAUAACAGCGCAAUCCUAUUUAAGAGUUCAUAUCGACAAUUAGGGUUUACGACCUCGAUGUUGGAUCAGGACAUCCCAAUGGUGCAGAAGCUAUUAAUGGUUCGUUUGUUCAACGAUUAAAGUCCUACGUGAUCUGAGU
This 543-nucleotide ribosomal RNA is filed under the name Bandicota bengalensis insularis. RNAcentral's name for it is "partial 16S ribosomal RNA". It matches the Rfam family "Bacterial large subunit ribosomal RNA", at positions 1844 to 2610 of the family's 2925-position model. The record is from RNAcentral. Lineage: Eukaryota; Metazoa; Chordata; Mammalia; Rodentia; Muridae.